AGCAGCCGCGGUAAUUCCAGCUCCAAUAGCGUAUAUUAAAGUUGUUGCAGUUAAAAAGCUCGUAGUUGAAUUUCGGGAUCAAGGAAUCGGUCAUGCCUCGGUAUGUACUGGUUUUAUUGGUUCUCACCUUCUAAAGAACCAUAAUGUCAUUCAUUUGAUGUUAUGGGGAAUUAGGACUGUUACCUUGAAAAAAAUUAGAGUGUUUAAAGCAGGCUUACGCUUGAAUACAUUAGCAUGGAAUAAUGAAAUAGGACAUCAGAUUCUAUUUUGUUGGUUUCUAGGAUCGAUGUAAUGAUUAAUAGGGAUAGUUGGGGGCAUUAGUAUUCAAUCGUCAGAGGUGAAAUUCUUGGGUUUAUUGAAGACUAACUACUGCGAAAGCAUUUGCCAAGGAUGUUUUCAUUAAUCAAGAACGAAAGUUAGGGGAUCGAAGACGAUCAGAUACCGUCGUAGUCUUAACCAUAAACUAUGCCGACUAGGGAUCGGAUGAUGUUAAUUUUUUAAUGACUCA
This 508-nucleotide ribosomal RNA is filed under the name uncultured Glomeraceae. Its description in RNAcentral is "SSU rRNA". It matches the Rfam family "Eukaryotic small subunit ribosomal RNA", at positions 569 to 1078 of the family's 1831-position model. The record is from RNAcentral. Lineage: Eukaryota; Fungi; Glomeromycota; Glomeromycetes; Glomerales; Glomeraceae.